This 292-nucleotide ribosomal RNA is filed under the name Escherichia coli. Its description in RNAcentral is "partial 16S ribosomal RNA". It matches the Rfam family "Bacterial small subunit ribosomal RNA", at positions 1050 to 1342 of the family's 1533-position model. The record is from RNAcentral. Lineage: Bacteria; Pseudomonadati; Pseudomonadota; Gammaproteobacteria; Enterobacterales; Enterobacteriaceae.
UGUCGUCAGCUCGUGUUGUGAAAUGUUGGGUUAAGUCCCGCAACGAGCGCAACCCUUAUCCUUUGUUGCCAGCGGUCCGGCCGGGAACUCAAAGGAGACUGCCAGUGAUAAACUGGAGGAAGGUGGGGAUGACGUCAAGUCAUCAUGGCCCUUACGACCAGGGCUACACACGUGCUACAAUGGCGCAUACAAAGAGAAGCGACCUCGCGAGAGCAAGCGGACCUCAUAAAGUGCGUCGUAGUCCGGAUUGGAGUCUGCAACUCGACUCCAUGAAGUCGGAAUCGCUAGUAAU